RNAcentral lists this ribosomal RNA (433 nucleotides) under uncultured bacterium. Its description in RNAcentral is "partial 16S ribosomal RNA". It matches the Rfam family "Bacterial small subunit ribosomal RNA", at positions 29 to 507 of the family's 1533-position model. The record is from RNAcentral.
AACGAACGCUGGCGGCAUGCCUAACACAUGCAAGUCGAACGAGACCUCCGGAUCUAGUUGCGCACGGGUGCGUAACGCGGGGGAACCGUCCCUUAGGCUGGGGAUAACUCCCUGAAAGGGGUGCUAACACCGGAUAAUGUCCUCGAACAAAAGAUUUAUCGCCUUUGGGUGGGCCCGCGUUGGAUUAGCUAGUUGGUAGGGUAAAAGCCUACCACGGCGAGGAUCCAUAGCUGGUCUGAGAGGAUGAUAUGCCACACUGAGACUGAGACGCGGCCCAGACUCCUAGGGGAGGGAGGAGUGGGGAAUAUAGGAAAAUGGGGGAAAGGCUGAUCCAGCAAUGGCGGGUAAGUGAUGAAGGCCUGAGGGUUGUAAAGCUCUUUUACCCGGGGUGGUAAUGACGGUACCGGGAGAAUAAGCUCCGGCUAACUCCGUG